CUGUGUCCCGCGCGGCCGGUUCACCGCAUGCCGGUGUUAAACUGGCGCGUUAGCGGGACUCCUGUCGGUGGCGGUUCCGGGGCGGUGCUGGUCGUAGGUGCGUCCUAGCGAUGUUCCGAAAGCCGGCCGCCGUUUUCGGGAUCGCCUACUAUCCUGUCGCGGUGCUCUUGAACGAGCGUCGAGGCGGGCCGGCACGUUUACUUUGAGCAAAAUAGAGUGCUUCUUUCAGGCAUGUUCGCCUGUAUAUUGUGCAUGGAAUAAUGGAAUAGGACCUCGGUUCUAUUUUGUUGGUUUUCGGAGCCAGAGGAAAUGAUCAAUGGAGACGGACGGGGGCAUCCGUAUUGCGACGUUAGAGGUGAAAUUCUUGGAUCGUCGCAAGACGGACUUAAGCGAAAGCAUUUGCCAAGUACGCUCUCGUCGAUCAAGAACGAAAGUUAGAGGUUCGAAGGCGAUCAGAUACCGCCCUAGUUCUAACCAUAAACUAUGCCUGCCAGCGAUCCGCCGGUGUUCCUCCGAUGAGCCGGCGGGCAGCUUCCGGGAAACCAGAGCCUUCAGGUUCCGGGGGAAGUAUGGUCGCAAGUCUGAAACUUAAAGGAAUUGACGGAAGGGCACCACCAGGAGUGGAGCCUGCGGCUUAAUUUGACUCAACACGGGAAAACUCACCAGGCCCGGACAUCGUAAGGAUUGACAGAUUGACUAGCUCUUUCUUGAUUCGGUGGGUGGUGGUGCAUGGCCGUUCUUAGUUGGUGGAACGAUUUGUCUGGUUAAUUCCGAUAACGAACGAGACUCUAGCCUGCUAAAUAGGCGAUUCCGGUAUCCACAAUCGUGCUACCGGCGAUCAAUAAUCUUCUUAGAGGGACCAGCGGCUCCCAGCCGCACUAAACGGAGCAAUAACAGGUCUGUGAUGCCCUUAGAUGUCCUGGGCCGCACGCGCGCUACACUGAAGCAAUCAACGUGUCCGCCCUGUCCGAGAGGACCGGGUAACCCGYGGAAACUUCUUUGUGAUUGGGAUUGGGGUUUGUAACUAUUCCCCAUGAACGAGGAAUUCCCAGUAAGCGCGAGUCAUAAGCUCGAGUUGAUUGCGUCCCUGCCCUUUGUACACACCGCCCGUCGCUACUACCGAUUGAAUGAUUUAGUGAGGUCUUCGGACCGGCGCGCGGAGUCGGUCACCCGGCCGCUUCCGACGUCUCCGGAAAGAUGACCGAACUUGAUCAUU
RNAcentral lists this ribosomal RNA (1216 nucleotides) under Neopunana caribbensis. RNAcentral's name for it is "SSU rRNA". It matches the Rfam family "Eukaryotic small subunit ribosomal RNA", at positions 732 to 1793 of the family's 1831-position model. Lineage: Eukaryota; Metazoa; Arthropoda; Insecta; Hemiptera; Delphacidae. The record is from RNAcentral.